Molecule: ribosomal RNA, 262 nt
Filed under: uncultured Amycolatopsis sp.
Lineage: Bacteria; Bacillati; Actinomycetota; Actinomycetes; Pseudonocardiales; Pseudonocardiaceae
Description: partial 16S ribosomal RNA
Rfam family: Bacterial small subunit ribosomal RNA
Source: RNAcentral
GUCGUCGAUAGAGGUAUGGCUACCAAGGCUGACGACGGGUAUGCCGAGCCUGAGAGGGUGAGCACGGCACACAUUGGGACUGAGACACGGCCCAGUACUCCUACGGGUAGGCAGCAGUGGGGAAUAUUGCACAAUGGGCGGAAGCCUGAUGCAGCGACGCCGCGUGAGGGAUGACGGCCUUCGGGUUGUAAACUUCUUUCGCUAGGGACGAAGCCUUCUGGUGAGGGGACCUGGAUAAAAAACACCGGGUAUAUACGUGUCA